GUCAACUCUUUGAACUGGAAUACAAGGUCAACCCAGUAACAUCUUGCGAUAUAUUUGCAUGGAGUUUGCUUGAAAUGACAAUGUCUGCUUCUCUCAGUCACAAUCAGGCAAGUAGAUCCGCAGCCUUCUCCUUUAUUUAUUUAUUUCGAAAGAAAAAAACUUUGUUUUUUGGUAAUCAAGAUUCAUCUUUUUAAGGUGUUGCGAGAUCCAUUGAGAUGGCCAUGUUUCUUGUUUCAAGCAUGAAGAGGAAAGAAGGUUCAGAGAUUGACAAACCUGAUCUCUCAUUAAGUUCUCAGAGUAAAAAGAUCAAGACAGUUCUGGUGCAGGAAGAAGAACAAGAACAGCUUCUGCAAAACCCACCAGGCUUGUGCUCAAAUUUGAACUCUGCUUGUGAAGAUUUCAAUCAAGAGGAUUAGAAACUGAUGGUAUCUGAUGAUGAGAUGCAAACAGAACAUGAAUCAGAGAAUGAAGUGAUAAAUUAUGAUCAAAUAAUGGAGGAAUUAAUGGAUGUUGAGGAUGAAUCAGCAUCAAGAACAGGAAGUGGAGAUGAUGCUUUGGAGCAAAAGCAUCAGCUGCCAGUUUUAUGGCCAGGUUUUUUUUAAGCAGCAAUUUAUUAUUGACCGUUUAGCCUGGAAGCAUAUGAAGAACUACUAGUCACAGCCUAUGAAAGAAUAAGUGCAAACAUUUCUUCAAGAUGGAGAAUUUUUGCAACUUAACGUAGGAUACUUCCAUCUUGUCAUUAUGAUCUUUAAGUGGUGUCUAUCUUAAUUAUUUAGCUCACCAAGUGUGCAAUGGAAAGGAAAAGUGUGA
Zingiber officinale is the source of this 810-nucleotide long non-coding RNA. RefSeq lists it as uncharacterized. Lineage: Eukaryota; Viridiplantae; Streptophyta; Magnoliopsida; Zingiberales; Zingiberaceae. The transcript is spliced from 4 exons. The record is from RefSeq and is a predicted model, not a curated record.